Molecule: transfer RNA, 73 nt
Filed under: Salix viminalis (osier)
Lineage: Eukaryota; Viridiplantae; Streptophyta; Magnoliopsida; Malpighiales; Salicaceae
Rfam family: tRNA
About the family: Transfer RNA (tRNA) molecules are approximately 80 nucleotides in length.
Source: RNAcentral
AGGCAUAUAGUUCAGAUGGUAGAACGCUUGCUUUGAAUGCGAGAGGUGCAGAGUUCGAUCCCCUGCAUCUCCA